RNAcentral lists this ribosomal RNA (642 nucleotides) under uncultured bacterium. RNAcentral describes it as "bacterial SSU rRNA". It matches the Rfam family "Bacterial small subunit ribosomal RNA", at positions 202 to 842 of the family's 1533-position model. The record is from RNAcentral.
CAAAGGGAUUACCGGUGGCGGAUGGGCAUGCGGCGCAUUAGCUAGUCGGCGGGGUAACGGCCCACCGAGGCGACGAUGCGUAGGGGUUCUGAGAGGAAGGUCCCCCACACUGGUACUGAGACACGGACCAGACUCCUACGGGAGGCAGCAGUGAGGAAUAUUGGUCAAUGGGCGCGAGCCUGAACCAGCCAAGUCGCGUGAGGGAUGACGGUCCUACGGAUUGUAAACCUCUUUUGCCGGGGAGCAAGCGUGCGUUCGUGAACGCGCGUCGAGAGUACCCGGAGAAAAAGCAUCGGCUAACUCCGUGCCAGCAGCCGCGGUAAUACGGAGGAUGCGAGCGUUAUCCGGAUUUAUUGGGUUUAAAGGGUGCGUAGGCGGGAUGCCAAGUCAGCGGUAAAAAUGCGGUGCUCAACGCCGUCGAGCCGUUGAAACUGGCGUUCUUGAGUGGGCGAGAAGUAUGCGGAAUGCGUGGUGUAGCGGUGAAAUGCAUAGAUAUCACGCAGAACUCCGAUUGCGAAGGCAGCAUACCGGCGCCCUACUGACGCUGAGGCACGAAAGCGUGGGUAUCGAACAGGAUUAGAUACCCUGGUAGUCCACGCAGUAAACGAUGAAUGCUAACUGUCCGGUGCGAGUGAGCGCUGG